UUAAGCGACUAAGCGUACACGGUGGAUGCCCUGGCAGUCAGAGGCGAUGAAGGACGUGCUAAUCUGCGAUAAGCGUCGGUAAGGUGAUAUGAACCGUUAUAACCGGCGAUUUCCGAAUGGGGAAACCCAGUGUGUUUCGACACACUAUCAUUAACUGAAUCCAUAGGUUAAUGAGGCGAACCGGGGGAACUGAAACAUCUAAGUACCCCGAGGAAAAGAAAUCAACCGAGAUUCCCCCAGUAGCGGCGAGCGAACGGGGAGGAGCCCAGAGUCUGAAUCAGUGUGUGUGUUAGUGGAAGCGUCUGGAAAGGCGCGCGAUACAGGGUGACAGCCCCGUACACAAAAAUGCACAUACUGUGAGCUCGAUGAGUAGGGCGGGACACGUGGUAUCCUGUCUGAAUAUGGGGGGACCAUCCUCCAAGGCUAAAUACUCCUGACUGACCGAUAGUGAACCAGUACCGUGAGGGAAAGGCGAAAAGAACCCCGGCGAGGGGAGUGAAAAAGAACCUGAAACCGUGUACGUACAAGCAGUGGGAGCCUCUUUUAUGGGGUGACUGCGUACCUUUUGUAUAAUGGGUCAGCGACUUAUAUUCUGUAGCAAGGUUAACCGAAUAGGGGAGCCGAAGGGAAACCGAGUCUUAACUGGGCGUUAAGUUGCAGGGUAUAGACCCGAAACCCGGUGAUCUAGCCAUGGGCAGGUUGAAGGUUGGGUAACACUAACUGGAGGACCGAACCGACUAAUGUUGAAAAAUUAGCGGAUGACUUGUGGCUGGGGGUGAAAGGCCAAUCAAACCGGGAGAUAGCUGGUUCUCCCCGAAAGCUAUUUAGGUAGCGCCUCGUGAAUUCAUCUCCGGGGGUAGAGCACUGUUUCGGCAAGGGGGUCAUCCCGACUUACCAACCCGAUGCAAACUGCGAAUACCGGAGAAUGUUAUCACGGGAGACACACGGCGGGUGCUAACGUCCGUCGUGAAGAGGGAAACAACCCAGACCGCCAGCUAAGGUCCCAAAGUCAUGGUUAAGUGGGAAACGAUGUGGGAAGGCCCAGACAGCCAGGAUGUUGGCUUAGAAGCAGCCAUCAUUUAAAGAAAGCGUAAUAGCUCACUGGUCGAGUCGGCCUGCGCGGAAGAUGUAACGGGGCUAAACCAUGCACCGAAGCUGCGGCAGCGACGCUUAUGCGUUGUUGGGUAGGGGAGCGUUCUGUAAGCCUGUGAAGGUGUGCUGUGAGGCAUGCUGGAGGUAUCAGAAGUGCGAAUGCUGACAUAAGUAACGAUAAAGCGGGUGAAAAGCCCGCUCGCCGGAAGACCAAGGGUUCCUGUCCAACGUUAAUCGGGGCAGGGUGAGUCGACCCCUAAGGCGAGGCCGAAAGGCGUAGUCGAUGGGAAACAGGUUAAUAUUCCUGUACUUGGUGUUACUGCGAAGGGGGGACGGAGAAGGCUAUGUUGGCCGGGCGACGGUUGUCCCGGUUUAAGCGUGUAGGCUGGUUUUCCAGGCAAAUCCGGAAAAUCAAGGCUGAGGCGUGAUGACGAGGCACUACGGUGCAGAAGCAACAAAUGCCCUGCUUCCAGGAAAAGCCUCUAAGCAUCAGGUAACAUCAAAUCGUACCCCAAACCGACACAGGUGGUCAGGUAGAGAAUACCAAGGCGCUUGAGAGAACUCGGGUGAAGGAACUAGGCAAAAUGGUGCCGUAACUUCGGGAGAAGGCACGCUGAUAUGUAGGUGAAGUCCCUCGCGGAUGGAGCUGAAAUCAGUCGAAGAUACCAGCUGGCUGCAACUGUUUAUUAAAAACACAGCACUGUGCAAACACGAAAGUGGACGUAUACGGUGUGACGCCUGCCCGGUGCCGGAAGGUUAAUUGAUGGGGUCAGCGCAAGCGAAGCUCUUGAUCGAAGCCCCGGUAAACGGCGGCCGUAACUAUAACGGUCCUAAGGUAGCGAAAUUCCUUGUCGGGUAAGUUCCGACCUGCACGAAUGGCGUAAUGAUGGCCAGGCUGUCUCCACCCGAGACUCAGUGAAAUUGAACUCGCUGUGAAGAUGCAGUGUACCCGCGGCAAGACGGAAAGACCCCGUGAACCUUUACUAUAGCUUGACACUGAACAUUGAGCCUUGAUGUGUAGGAUAGGUGGGAGGCUUUGAAGUGUAGACGCCAGUCUGCAUGGAGCCGACCUUGAAAUACCACCCUUUAAUGUUUGAUGUUCUAACGUUGACCCGUAAUCCGGGUUGCGGACAGUGUCUGGUGGGUAGUUUGACUGGGGCGGUCUCCUCCUAAAGAGUAACGGAGGAGCACGAAGGUUGGCUAAUCCUGGUCGGACAUCAGGAGGUUAGUGCAAUGGCAUAAGCCAGCUUGACUGCGAGCGUGACGGCGCGAGCAGGUGCGAAAGCAGGUCAUAGUGAUCCGGUGGUUCUGAAUGGAAGGGCCAUCGCUCAACGGAUAAAAGGUACUCCGGGGAUAACAGGCUGAUACCGCCCAAGAGUUCAUAUCGACGGCGGUGUUUGGCACCUCGAUGUCGGCUCAUCACAUCCUGGGGCUGAAGUAGGUCCCAAGGGUAUGGCUGUUCGCCAUUUAAAGUGGUACGCGAGCUGGGUUUAGAACGUCGUGAGACAGUUCGGUCCCUAUCUGCCGUGGGCGCUGGAGAACUGAGGGGGGCUGCUCCUAGUACGAGAGGACCGGAGUGGACGCAUCACUGGUGUUCGGGUUGUCAUGCCAAUGGCACUGCCCGGUAGCUAAAUGCGGAAGAGAUAAGUGCUGAAAGCAUCUAAGCACGAAACUUGCCCCGAGAUGAGUUCUCCCUGACCCUUUAAGGGUCCUGAAGGAACGUUGAAGACGACGACGUUGAUAGGCCGGGUGUGUAAGCGCAGCGAUGCGUUGAGCUAACCGGUACUAAUGAACCGUGAGGCUUAACCUU
This 2902-nucleotide ribosomal RNA is filed under the name Escherichia coli. RNAcentral's name for it is "23S ribosomal RNA". It matches the Rfam family "Bacterial large subunit ribosomal RNA". Lineage: Bacteria; Pseudomonadati; Pseudomonadota; Gammaproteobacteria; Enterobacterales; Enterobacteriaceae. The record is from RNAcentral.